ACAGACUGGAGCCUGGGAGCCUCUGUAUACCCAGAGCAGGCACAGCCUAGGCAGCAGCAGGACAAGCUUCAUUGCCACCCUGCAAAUGUGCCUCAGCCCUGCCCUGGAGGGGAAGAUGGGGAUUCAAUGUCUAUGCUCCAGCUGGUCCUUGGUCUCU
This 157-nucleotide small RNA is filed under the name Gopherus agassizii (Agassiz's desert tortoise). Its description in RNAcentral is "TUC338 (ENSGAGG00000014109.1)". The record is from RNAcentral. Lineage: Eukaryota; Metazoa; Chordata; Testudines; Testudinidae.